Molecule: small RNA, 338 nt
Filed under: Histoplasma ohiense
Lineage: Eukaryota; Fungi; Ascomycota; Eurotiomycetes; Onygenales; Ajellomycetaceae
Description: hypothetical lncRNA
Source: RNAcentral
UCCACAAAACAUACUUCCUACAUUACAUUCAACAAUGUUGCAGCGCGCGACCGUUUGAUGAUAGGAGGCAUGGUUAAAUCACUGAACACAACUGUAGCUGGCGGCUGCUAUAGCAGCCCCGCAUUUUCAUCGAAAUGUCGGCAACCACCUUGGUCUGACCAAUAAUUGGCUCGAAUGGAUGGUUGUUUGGUACACAUUUUAAUAGAUGUGAAAGCUAUGAUUGAAUGCAAUAUGAUGUAUAUAUUCAUUUUUGGUCAUUUCCAGAUCAUUAUUGUACAGUACACACCUAAAUUGAAAUGCGAUUAAACCCAUUUUAAUCCCACAAUCUAUUAGCUGGC